Molecule: long non-coding RNA, 233 nt
Organism: Maniola jurtina (meadow brown)
Lineage: Eukaryota; Metazoa; Arthropoda; Insecta; Lepidoptera; Nymphalidae
Exons: 3
Source: RefSeq, a predicted model, not a curated record
CCUCAUGAAAGGAUGGAAGGUGCUAGAAGAUUCCAGAUCUGAUUUCCACUGGAAUAGACGGUAAACGAUAAAGGACUUGAUCAUUGGAACCCAGCGUGCUCAAUGGUACACUUCAUCGAAAGGCUGUAUGCUUCAGAUGGCGCACGGGGUCGUGCGAGAGCUUACGAAACCAAACUCUUAUGACGAGAUGAAGGCGAGCCUCAUGGUGGAAGGUGCUACAAGAUUCCAGAUCA